GAUCAACGCUGGCGGCGUGCCCAAUGCAUGCAAGUCGAGCGGGGUGGGCUUCGGUCCACUUACGCGGCGGACGGGUGCGGAACACGUGGGCAACCUGCCCUGAGGUGGGGGAUAGCCGGGGGAAACGCCGGGUAAUUCCGCAUACGCUCACAGACCGGAGGGUGUGUGAGGAAAGGGUCUUCGGACUCGCCUUGGGAGGGGCCUGCGGCCGAUUAGCUAGACGGUGGGGUAACGGCCUACCGUGGCGAUGAUCGGUAGCUGGUCUGAGAGGACGGCCAGCCACACGGGGACCGAGACACGGCCCCGACUCCUACGGGAGGCAGCAGCAAGGAAUCUUCCGCAAUGGGCGACAGCCUGACGGAGCAACGCCGCGUGUGGGAUGACGCCUUUCGGGGUGUAAACCACUUUUCUCAGGGAAGAAGCACUGACGGUACCUGAGGAAGAAGGACCGGCUAACUACGUGCCAGCAGCCGCAGUAA
This 479-nucleotide ribosomal RNA is filed under the name uncultured bacterium. RNAcentral describes it as "partial 16S ribosomal RNA". It matches the Rfam family "Bacterial small subunit ribosomal RNA", at positions 28 to 523 of the family's 1533-position model. The record is from RNAcentral.